UACGUAGGUGGCAAGCGUUAUCCGGAAUUAUUGGGCGUAAAGCGCUCGCAGGCGGUUUCUUAAGUCUGAUGUGAAAGCCCACGGCUUAACCGUGGAGGGUCAUUGGAAACUGGGAGACUUGAGUGCAGAAGAGGAGAGUGGAAUUCCACGUGUAGCGGUGAAAUGCGUAGAGAUGUGGAGGAACACCAGUGGCGAAGGCGACUCUCUGGUCUGUAACUGACGCUGAGGAGCGAAAGCGUGGGGAGCAAACAGG
This 253-nucleotide ribosomal RNA is filed under the name uncultured bacterium. RNAcentral describes it as "partial 16S ribosomal RNA". It matches the Rfam family "Bacterial small subunit ribosomal RNA", at positions 524 to 776 of the family's 1533-position model. The record is from RNAcentral.